RNAcentral lists this ribosomal RNA (356 nucleotides) under Staphylococcus aureus. Its description in RNAcentral is "bacterial SSU rRNA". It matches the Rfam family "Bacterial small subunit ribosomal RNA", at positions 1186 to 1533 of the family's 1533-position model. The record is from RNAcentral. RNAcentral also lists the same sequence under 1 other name. Lineage: Bacteria; Bacillati; Bacillota; Bacilli; Caryophanales; Staphylococcaceae.
CAAAUCAUCAUGCCCCUUAUGAUUUGGGCUACACACGUGCUACAAUGGACAAUACAAAGGGCAGCGAAACCGCGAGGUCAAGCAAAUCCCAUAAAGUUGUUCUCAGUUCGGAUUGUAGUCUGCAACUCGACUACAUGAAGCUGGAAUCGCUAGUAAUCGUAGAUCAGCAUGCUACGGUGAAUACGUUCCCGGGUCUUGUACACACCGCCCGUCACACCACGAGAGUUUGUAACACCCGAAGCCGGUGGAGUAACCUUUUAGGAGCUAGCCGUCGAAGGUGGGACAAAUGAUUGGGGUGAAGUCGUAACAAGGUAGCCGUAUCGGAAGGUGCGGCUGGAUCACCUCCUUUCUAAGGA